This 478-nucleotide ribosomal RNA is filed under the name uncultured bacterium. Its description in RNAcentral is "SSU rRNA". It matches the Rfam family "Bacterial small subunit ribosomal RNA", at positions 26 to 521 of the family's 1533-position model. The record is from RNAcentral.
AGGAUGAACGCUGGCGGCGUGCUUAACACAUGCAAGUCGAACGAUGAAGCGGAGCUUGCUCUGUGGAUUAGUGGCGAACGGGUGAGUAACACGUGAGUAACCUGCCCUUGACUCUGGGAUAAGCACUGGAAACGGUGUCUAAUACCGGAUACGAGCUUCAGCCGCAUGGCUAGGAGUUGGAAAGAAUUUCGGUCAAGGAUGGACUCGCGGCCUAUCAGGUAGUUGGUGAGGUAAUGGCCCACCAAGCCUACGACGGGUAGCCGGCCUGAGAGGGUGACCGGCCACACUGGGACUGAGACACGGCCCAGACUCCUACGGGAGGCAGCAGUGGGGAAUAUUGCACAAUGGGCGCAAGCCUGAUGCAGCAACGCCGCGUGAGGGACGACGGCCUUCGGGUUGUAACCUCUUUAGUAGGAAGAAGCGAAGUGACGGUACCUGCAGAAAAGCACCGGACUAACUACGUGCCAGCAGCCGCGGU